UCUCCUACGGGGCGCAGCAGUGGGGGAUAUUGCACAAUGGGGGAAACCCUGAUGCAGCGACGCCGCGUGGGUGAAGAAGCGCCUCGGCGCGUAAAGCCCUGUCAGCAGGGAAGAAAAUGACGGUACCUGAAGAAGAAGCCCCGGCUAACUACGUGCCAGCAGCCGCGGAAAUACGUAGGGGGAGAGCGUUAUCCGGAUUUACUGGGUGUGAAGGGGGGGCAGACGGCGAGGCAAGCCAGGAGUGAAAGCCCGGGGCUCAACCCCGGGACGGCUCUUGGAACUGCGUGGCUAGAGUGCAG
RNAcentral lists this ribosomal RNA (299 nucleotides) under uncultured bacterium. RNAcentral's name for it is "partial 16S ribosomal RNA". It matches the Rfam family "Bacterial small subunit ribosomal RNA", at positions 335 to 651 of the family's 1533-position model. The record is from RNAcentral.